Molecule: ribosomal RNA, 467 nt
Filed under: uncultured bacterium
Lineage: Bacteria
Description: bacterial SSU rRNA
Rfam family: Bacterial small subunit ribosomal RNA
Source: RNAcentral
AGUUUGAUCCUGGCUCAGAACGAACGCUGGCGGCAUGCCUAAUACAUGCAAGUCGAACGAGAUCUUCGGAUCUAGUGGCGCACGGGUGCGUAACGCGUGGGAAUCUGCCCUUGGGUUCGGAAUAACAGCGGGAAACUGCUGCUAAUACCGGAUGAUGACGUAAGUCCAAAGAUUUAUCGCCCAGGGAUGAGCCCGCGUAGGAUUAGGUAGUUGGUGGGGUAAAGGCCUACCAAGCCUACGAUCCUUAGCUGGUCUGAGAGGAUGAUCAGCCACACUGGGACUGAGACACGGCCCAGACUCCUACGGGAGGCAGCAGUAGGGAAUAUUGGACAAUGGGGGCAACCCUGAUCCAGCAAUGCCGCGUGAGUGAUGAAGGCCUUAGGGUUGUAAAGCUCUUUUACCCGGGAUGAUAAUGACAGUACCGGGAGAAUAAGCCCCGGCUAACUCCGUGCCAGCAGCCGCGGUAA